GGUCACACCCUAACACUUCCCCUGUGGGCUAAUCACCAUCAAGAUGGAUGGACACUUGCGUGGGCAGCCUGGAGCUGUCUGGCACAUCCCAAACUCUGGGCACUUCAGGACCUGCAAGUGGAAUUUCUGAAAUGUGUCUUUGA
RNAcentral lists this long non-coding RNA (143 nucleotides) under Mus spicilegus (steppe mouse). Its description in RNAcentral is "lncRNA (ENSMSIG00000015375.1)". The record is from RNAcentral. Lineage: Eukaryota; Metazoa; Chordata; Mammalia; Rodentia; Muridae.